ACGAAUAACACUUAAAAAAUAAAAAUUUUUAAUUUUUUUUUUUAAUUUUUUAUAAUCAGGACAAAACUAUUAUAUAAAAUCGUAAUCCAAAAAAUAGUAUCAUAUUAAUUUUAUAAACACAUAUACAUACAUAUAUACAUAUAUAUAUAUAUAUAUAUAUAUAUGUGUACAAUUGUUUAUCGUUAAAAUAGAGUAUAUACACUAAUAUAUGUUUUAUUAACAUGAAUAGUAGAUAUUUUUAUAAUGGUAAUAUAGAACAAUUUGCUUUCUCAAAACUUUUUUUUUUGUUUUUUUAACUUUUGUUUUUCGUCUAUUUAUUUUUAUAUUUAUUGAAGUUAAAUUCUUCUUCAAAAAUUGAAUUUAUAACCCAUAAUUAUUUUUUUUUAAUAAUUUUAUUUAAAACUUUUUAAAAGAUUAAAAAUGAUGAAAAACGUUAUUUUUUUAUUAGCUUUUCUUUUUCUUUUUUCUUUACAAGUAUGUCAUAUGUUAAAAGUGGAAGGUUUUGGGACUGAGCACAAGGGGCUCAUGUUUUUUCAAAUCGAUAGAGAUAUGAAUUUAAUCGGGAAUAAAUACUUUAUGGAUUAUGCGAAAAGACAAGUAUAAAUACAUGUGUCAUAGAGAUUGAAUUAUUUACUAUUUGUUGCAUCUUAUCAUUUACUAAUAAUCUUUUUUUUUUUUAAGUUUUGUGUCAAUCA
This 695-nucleotide long non-coding RNA is filed under the name Piliocolobus tephrosceles (Ugandan red Colobus). RNAcentral's name for it is "lncRNA (ENSPTEG00000013380.1)". The record is from RNAcentral. Lineage: Eukaryota; Metazoa; Chordata; Mammalia; Primates; Cercopithecidae.